RNAcentral lists this ribosomal RNA (478 nucleotides) under uncultured bacterium. RNAcentral's name for it is "partial 16S ribosomal RNA". It matches the Rfam family "Bacterial small subunit ribosomal RNA", at positions 28 to 523 of the family's 1533-position model. The record is from RNAcentral.
GAUAAACGCUGGCGGCGUGCAUGAGACUUGCAAGUCGAACGGGUGACUUAGGGCUUGCUCUAAGUCGCUAGUGGCGGACGGCUGAGUAACGCGUAGGUGACCUACCCCGAAGUGGGGAAUAACUGCCCGAAAGGGUGGCUAAUACCGCAUGUGAUCGGUCAUUCAUUUGCUUGAUCAAAGCAGAAAUGCGCUUUGGGAGGGGCCUGCGUCCGAUUAGCUCGUUGGUGGGGUAAUGGCUCACCAAGGCGACGAUCGGUAGGUGGUCUGAGAGGACGAUCACCCAGACUGGGACUGAGACACGGCCCAGACUCCUACGGGAGGCAGCAGUCGGGAAUUUUGCUCAAUGGGGGAAACCCUGAAGCAGCAACGCCGCGUGAGGGAUGAAGGCCUUCGGGUUGUAAACCUCUUUUCUCAGGGACGAUGAUGACGGUACCUGAGGAAUAAGCCACGGCUAACUACGUGCCAGCCGCCGCGGUAA